Molecule: small nuclear RNA, 154 nt
Filed under: Octodon degus (degu)
Lineage: Eukaryota; Metazoa; Chordata; Mammalia; Rodentia; Octodontidae
Description: U1 spliceosomal RNA (ENSODEG00000022426.1)
Rfam family: U1 spliceosomal RNA
About the family: U1 is a small nuclear RNA (snRNA) component of the spliceosome (involved in pre-mRNA splicing). Its 5' end forms complementary base pairs with the 5' splice junction, thus defining the 5' donor site of an intron.
Source: Rfam by way of RNAcentral
AUACUUACAUGGCAGGGGAGAUACCAGGGCCAGGAAGGUAGCUUUCCCAGGGCAAGGCUUAGCUAUUGCAAUCUGGAUGUGCUGACCCCUGCAAUGUGGGACACUCAACUGCAUAAUUUGUGGUAGUGGUGGAAUCCUUUUGUGCUUUUCCCUG